GGCCCAGUAGCUCAGCGGGUUAGAGCAGCGGACUCAUAAUCCGUCGGUCGCGGGUUCAAGCCCCGCCUGGGCCACCA
This 77-nucleotide transfer RNA is filed under the name Brachybacterium sp. RNAcentral describes it as "tRNA-Ile". It matches the Rfam family "tRNA". Rfam says of the family: Transfer RNA (tRNA) molecules are approximately 80 nucleotides in length. Their secondary structure includes four short double-helical elements and three loops (D, anti-codon, and T loops). Lineage: Bacteria; Bacillati; Actinomycetota; Actinomycetes; Micrococcales; Dermabacteraceae. RNAcentral also lists the same sequence under 1 other name. The record is from RNAcentral.